AUUGAGAUGCAAUAUGACCAAAACCCAAGCAUCUAAAACACUUGAUAUCUCUAUUCCUAGGAGUUUGCGAGUUAGAAAUACCUUUGUUUUUAUUAUCAUUAAUAUCUUUUGGCUUGGUUUUGUCAUCUCUUUUGAAUUGGACAGCCUUAUUAUCUCCCCUCCAAUUCGGCCUCCAAUUAAAAUUUUGGGCCGAAUAAGUGUUGGUUUGCCUUGUGUUCCCC
Molecule: long non-coding RNA, 221 nt
Filed under: Carica papaya (papaya)
Lineage: Eukaryota; Viridiplantae; Streptophyta; Magnoliopsida; Brassicales; Caricaceae
Description: long non-coding RNA (CPAP_LNC015459)
Source: RNAcentral